GGGUUGUGAGGUUAAGCGACUAAGCGUACACGGUGGAUGCCCUGGCAGUCAGAGGCGAUGAAGGACGUGCUAAUCUGCGAAAAGCGUCGGUAAGGUGAUAUGAACCGUUAUAACCGGCGAUGUCCGAAUGGGGAAACCCAGUGUGAUUCGUCACACUAUCGUUAACUGAAUACAUAGGUUAACGAGGCGAACCGGGGGAACUGAAACAUCUAAGUACCCCGAGGAAAAGAAAUCAACCGAGAUUCCCCCAGUAGCGGCGAGCGAACGGGGAGCAGCCCAGAGUCUGAAUCAGCUUGUGUGUUAGUGGAACGGUCUGGAAAGUCCGACGGUACAGGGUGAUAGUCCCGUACACCAAAAUGCACAGGCUGUGAACUCGAAGAGUAGGGCGGGACACGUGGUAUCCUGUCUGAAUAUGGGGGGACCAUCCUCCAAGGCUAAAUACUCCUGACUGACCGAUAGUGAACCAGUACCGUGAGGGAAAGGCGAAAAGAACCCCGGCGAGGGGAGUGAAAAAGAACCUGAAACCGUGUACGUACAAGCAGUGGGAGCACCUUCGGGUGUGACUGCGUACCUUUUGUAUAAUGGGUCAGCGACUUAUAUUCUGUAGCAAGGUUAACCGUAUAGGGGAGCCGCAGGGAAACCGAGUCUUAACUGGGCGUUAAGUUGCAGGGUAUAGACCCGAAACCCGGUGAUCUAGCCAUGGGCAGGUUGAAGGUUGGGUAACACUAACUGGAGGACCGAACCGACUAAUGUUGAAAAAUUAGCGGAUGACUUGUGGCUGGGGGUGAAAGGCCAAUCAAACCGGGAGAUAGCUGGUUCUCCCCGAAAGCUAUUUAGGUAGCGCCUCGUGAACUCAUCUUCGGGGGUAGAGCACUGUUUCGGCUAGGGGGUCAUCCCGACUUACCAACCCGAUGCAAACUACGAAUACCGAAGAAUGUUAUCACGGGAGACACACGGCGGGUGCUAACGUCCGUCGUGAAGAGGGAAACAACCCAGACCGCCAGCUAAGGUCCCAAAGUCAUGGUUAAGUGGGAAACGAUGUGGGAAGGCACAGACAGCCAGGAUGUUGGCUUAGAAGCAGCCAUCAUUUAAAGAAAGCGUAAUAGCUCACUGGUCGAGUCGGCCUGCGCGGAAGAUGUAACGGGGCUAAACCAUGCACCGAAGCUGCGGCAGCGACACUAUGUGUUGUUGGGUAGGGGAGCGUUCUGUAAGCCUGCGAAGGUGUGCUGUGAGGCAUGCUGGAGGUAUCAGAAGUGCGAAUGCUGACAUAAGUAACGAUAAAGCGGGUGAAAAGCCCGCUCGCCGGAAGACCAAGGGUUCCUGUCCAACGUUAAUCGGGGCAGGGUGAGUCGACCCCUAAGGCGAGGCCGAAAGGCGUAGUCGAUGGGAAACAGGUUAAUAUUCCUGUACUUGGUGUUACUGCGAAGGGGGGACGGAGAAGGCUAUGUUAGCCGGGCGACGGUUGUCCCGGUUUAAGCAUGUAGGCUGGUUAUCCAGGCAAAUCCGGAUAAUCAAGGCUGAGGUGUGAUGACGAGGCACUACGGUGCUGAAGUAACAAAUGCCCUGCUUCCAGGAAAAGCCUCUAAGCAUCAGGUAACAUCAAAUCGUACCCCAAACCGACACAGGUGGUCAGGUAGAGAAUACCAAGGCGCUUGAGAGAACUCGGGUGAAGGAACUAGGCAAAAUGGUGCCGUAACUUCGGGAGAAGGCACGCUGGUGUGUAGGUGAAGCCCCUGCGGGUGGAGCUGAGACCAGUCGAAGAUACCAGCUGGCUGCAACUGUUUAUUAAAAACACAGCACUGUGCAAACACGAAAGUGGACGUAUACGGUGUGACGCCUGCCCGGUGCCGGAAGGUUAAUUGAUGGGGUUAUCCGUAAGGAGAAGCUCUUGAUCGAAGCCCCGGUAAACGGCGGCCGUAACUAUAACGGUCCUAAGGUAGCGAAAUUCCUUGUCGGGUAAGUUCCGACCUGCACGAAUGGCGUAAUGAUGGCCAGGCUGUCUCCACCCGAGACUCAGUGAAAUUGAACUCGCUGUGAAGAUGCAGUGUACCCGCGGCAAGACGGAAAGACCCCGUGAACCUUUACUAUAGCUUGACACUGAACAUUGAGCCUUGAUGUGUAGGAUAGGUGGGAGGCUUUGAAGCGUGGACGCCAGUCUGCGUGGAGCCAACCUUGAAAUACCACCCUUUAAUGUUUGAUGUUCUAACGUUGGCCCCUGACCGGGGUUGCGGACAGUGUCUGGUGGGUAGUUUGACUGGGGCGGUCUCCUCCCAAAGCGUAACGGAGGAGCACGAAGGUUAGCUAAUCCUGGUCGGACAUCAGGAGGUUAGUGCAAUGGCAUAAGCUAGCUUGACUGCGAGCGUGACGGCGCGAGCAGGUGCGAAAGCAGGUCAUAGUGAUCCGGUGGUUCUGAAUGGAAGGGCCAUCGCUCAACGGAUAAAAGGUACUCCGGGGAUAACAGGCUGAUACCGCCCAAGAGUUCAUAUCGACGGCGGUGUUUGGCACCUCGAUGUCGGCUCAUCACAUCCUGGGGCUGAAGUAGGUCCCAAGGGUAUGGCUGUUCGCCAUUUAAAGUGGUACGCGAGCUGGGUUUAGAACGUCGUGAGACAGUUCGGUCCCUAUCUGCCGUGGGCGCUGGAGAAUUGAGGGGGGCUGCUCCUAGUACGAGAGGACCGGAGUGGACGCAUCACUGGUGUUCGGGUUGUCAUGCCAAUGGCACUGCCCGGUAGCUAAAUGCGGAAGAGAUAAGUGCUGAAAGCAUCUAAGCACGAAACUUGCCCCGAGAUGAGUUCUCCCUGAGACUUUAAGUCUCCUGAAGGAACGUUGAAGACGACGACGUUGAUAGGCCGGGUGUGUAAGCGCAGCGAUGCGUUGAGCUAACCGGUACUAAUGAACCGUGAGGCUUAACCUUACAACGCCGAAG
RNAcentral lists this ribosomal RNA (2923 nucleotides) under Klebsiella pneumoniae. RNAcentral describes it as "bacterial LSU rRNA". It matches the Rfam family "Bacterial large subunit ribosomal RNA". The record is from RNAcentral. Lineage: Bacteria; Pseudomonadati; Pseudomonadota; Gammaproteobacteria; Enterobacterales; Enterobacteriaceae.